RNAcentral lists this long non-coding RNA (1068 nucleotides) under Nicotiana benthamiana. RNAcentral describes it as "long non-coding RNA (NBEN_LNC037892)". Lineage: Eukaryota; Viridiplantae; Streptophyta; Magnoliopsida; Solanales; Solanaceae. The record is from RNAcentral.
CCAGUUACAAAAACAAAAAUUUUAUCUCGCCAGUUACAAAACAAAAACUUCAUCUCUAGAUCUGAAGUUCGCCAGUUACAAAAACAAAAACUUCAGCAAUUAGCAAAUAGAGGACAAAACUUCAGUUACUAUGCUUAACUUCAGCAAUUACAAUCAAAAACUUCAGCACACUUGGUUUUGCAUAAUUGUUACUUCAGGCCCGUCUACUAGAACAUUGAAGUUUUGCGUGAUUGCCUUUAUUACUUCAGCUCCAUAUGCUGAAAUGCGAAAAAGCGGGUAUGCUUGUAAUUAUUUUUUUGCAAAGCGGGUACAAAUUAAAACGUGACACAAAAAACGGGUAUAAAUGCAAAUACACCAAUAUAUACUUUAUAAUAACUCAGUCCACUAGUAAUAUUGUUACUUUCAGCCUAGGCCGGCGCUAAUUUAAAACGUGGAAUUCACUUAGGAUGUUACACAUUUGUAUUUUACUUUUAAUUUAUCCUCUUGAUUAUCAAAGGACAUAUCCCAUUGAAGCAAUUUUUGGAGUAAAAAGCCUAUGGUUUCUUCAAACUCAUAAUUGUAUCUUUCCCGUAAAGGAAACUGAAGCUAUUUGGUUGGUUGAUGAUUUAUGAAGCAAACACUCGCCGUGUUCUAUUUCAAAUAUGGUAGAACUUCAACACCUAAGGAUUUCCACUUCUUAAAGUUAGUGUAACAUUAAGUAAAGCAUCUUACCUUUUGGCGUCUACUUUGAUAAGUCGAUGUCCACCUAAUCCAGCAUCACUUUCAACAAAGAAAGGAAUUGUGACCAUUUCAACUCUCUAUAACAAUGCCUCAAUUUCAAAUAAAUUGGGGUCGCCAAUACUAGAUAGAACAAAUUGGAAAGGAGAAUUUUGGCAUAAUAAUAAAGUUACCGUCACACAAUCAGGACCAUAAAUUCAAUCUAUGAUCUGAUCCUUUUUGGGACUAUGCACAUAGCUACACUGCGAGGUCUGAGGAUAUUUGUUACAACACUUUUAGGAACUAUGUUUGCGUAAUGGCCACCCCACAUAAAUUGUAUAAGAUAGGAUUGUCUUGCUCCAACGAAACAAG